RNAcentral lists this ribosomal RNA (468 nucleotides) under uncultured bacterium. RNAcentral describes it as "partial 16S ribosomal RNA". The stretch from base 20 to 329 matches the Rfam family "Bacterial small subunit ribosomal RNA", at positions 47 to 358 of the family's 1533-position model. The record is from RNAcentral.
GACGAACGCUGGCGGCGUGCUUAACACAUGCAAGUCGAACGGAAAGGCCCUGCUUUUGUGGGGUGCUCGAGUGGCGAACGGGUGAGUAACACGUGAGUAACCUGCCCUUGACUUUGGGAUAACUUCAGGAAACUGGGGCUAAUACCGGAUAGGAGCUCCUGCUGCAUGGUGGGGGUUGGAAAGUUUCGGCGGUUGGGGAUGGACUCGCGGCUUAUCAGCUUGUUGGUGGGGUAGUGGCUUACCAAGGCUUUGACGGGUAGCCGGCCUGAGAGGGUGACCGGAGAGAGGGGGAGUGAAGGCAGGCGGGGGCGGGAGGCGGACGCAGUAGGGGGGAGUAUGGGGGAGUGGGGUGAAGUCUGAUGCGGCGGGGCAGGGGGGGGGAAGAGGGGCUGAGGGUGGUAAACAACGGGGGACGGGGAAGCGCAGGGAGAGACGGGAAUGGAUAAAGAAGCAAGGGCACAAGAGGUG